This 496-nucleotide ribosomal RNA is filed under the name Halomonas sp. M15-C11. RNAcentral describes it as "bacterial SSU rRNA". It matches the Rfam family "Bacterial small subunit ribosomal RNA", at positions 1 to 494 of the family's 1533-position model. Lineage: Bacteria; Pseudomonadati; Pseudomonadota; Gammaproteobacteria; Oceanospirillales; Halomonadaceae. The record is from RNAcentral.
UUGAGCUUGAAUCCUGGCUCAGAUUGAACGCUGGCGGCAGGCCUAACACAUGCAAGUCGAGCGGAAACGAUGGAAGCUUGCUUCCAGGCGUCGAGCGGCGGACGGGUGAGUAAUGCAUGGGAAUCUGCCCGAUAGUGGGGGAUAACCUGGGGAAACCCAGGCUAAUACCGCAUACGUCCUACGGGAGAAAGCAGGGGAUCUUCGGACCUUGCGCUAUCGGAUGAGCCCAUGUCGGAUUAGCUUGUUGGUGAGGUAAUGGCUCACCAAGGCGACGAUCCGUAGCUGGUCUGAGAGGAUGAUCAGCCACAUCGGGACUGAGACACGGCCCGAACUCCUACGGGAGGCAGCAGUGGGGAAUAUUGGACAAUGGGCGAAAGCCUGAUCCAGCCAUGCCGCGUGUGUGAAGAAGGCCCUCGGGUUGUAAAGCACUUUCAGUGGGGAAGAAAGCCUUGGGAUUAAUACUCCCGAGGAAGGACUCACCCACAGAGAGACCGCU